Long non-coding RNA from Oncorhynchus kisutch (coho salmon), 1494 nucleotides. RefSeq lists it as uncharacterized. NCBI's taxonomy places the organism in Eukaryota, Metazoa, Chordata, Actinopteri, Salmoniformes, Salmonidae. The transcript is spliced from 4 exons. The record is from RefSeq and is a predicted model, not a curated record.
GGCACAAUCAAUAUCAACUGUCCCAGGAUGCACCACCACUAGCAGAGGGCCAGGAAAACCACCAAGCUGCCUGCAAGGCUGAAUAAUACAGGAAAAAGAUUGAUGGAUGGAGAUUAAGGGAGAUACGAGCAAAUGGCACAAUCAAUAUCAACUGUCCCAGGAUGCACCACCACUAGCAGAGGGCCAGGAAAACCACCAAGCUGCCUGCAAGGCUGAAUAAUGUAAGCCUAUCAGAUUUCCUGUUAUCAACCUAUUGCCUGAUCUCCCGGAUGACGUUACAAGCCUUUUCCAUGCCUGUACUAUUGCCUUUUUGGACCCCCUGUGUAUGACCUUCUGCCUGCCCCUGGACCCAGCUACCUGCCUCCUCAUGUGGUCCUUUACCAAUAAACACCUGCUGCGCCCUGCGCUUGAACCCAGCUCUCUGUCUCCUUUUGUGUUCAUUACACUCCCGAGUAGCGCAGCAGUCUAAGACACUGCAUCGCAGUACAAACUGCGUUGCUACAGAUGCUGUCUCGAGUCCCGUGCUUGCCACAACCAGGAGACCCAUGAGGCGAUGCACAAUUGACACAGCAUCGUCCGAGUUAGGGGAGGUCCUGUGGGCCAGGCGCAUGCCCGCUGACACGGUCACCAGGUGUAUGGUGUUUUCUCAGUUUUUUUGUGGAUGGGUAUACUUUGUAUGUAUAAUAGUAGUAUUUAAAAUGACUAAAUUGGGUAAUUUUGUAUACAUUUAUUUAAAUUUGCAUCGGACCGCUUCUGGGGAGAUUCUGGUAAGAUGUUAGCUGAAUUUGGGUAGAGGAAACGGCCCGAUGUACUUGGGCUGAUUCUGGGCAGUCAUUCAUUUUGAUUCCGGGCAGAGUCCGACACCCGAUUCUGGGCAAAUUCAAUUAGUUCCGGCCUCCCAGAAGAGGGCCGCUUCUGGGCCGAUUCCUCAUUGCUAGCUGGGAUUCUGCUGUAACGAUAUGCUAUGUGGUUCGUAAUGACAGCGUAGCUAACAAAUUGUCAGCCAACAUAACUCGAAAUUGACUCAACAUAACUCGAAAUUGAGUCCAGAUGCAUACUGUUUCCAUUGAUCAUCCUUGAGAUGUUUUUACAGGGUGACAGGCUCAUGGGGAUGGGCGAUCGUACACCUUGCACCUCCGUGCAGAAAAGACAGAGAGGGCUGUCUUGCUUCUAGUCCUUGGGAAACUUUGCAGUAUUUAGUCUUUUCUUACAUUGUUAGCCCAGAAAAUCUUAAGUGUUAUUACAUAGAGCUGGGAAGAACUAUGGUAAAAAUUAUGUAGGUAAAACAAAGCGCAAAUUAAAAGUACGUAUCUCAGAGCAUCGUAGCACCAUUAGGUGUAAAAACUUUACUUACCCAGUUGCGGCCCACUUCUUGGAGGCAGACCACUCUAUUUCGUCUCUGCAUUAUAUUGGCAUCGAACAUGUCACCCUCCCUAGGAGAGGGCGUGACCUUGAUAAUUUAUUGUUAAAACGAGAGGCUGCCUGGAUCUUUAA